AAGGACUACACGGGUAUCUAAUCCCCUUCGCUCCCCUAGCUUUCGUACCUCAGCGUCAGAAGAGACCCAGUAAGCCGCUUUCGCCACUGGUGUUCCUGAUGAUAUCAACGCAUUUCACCGCUCCACCAUCAGUUCCGCUUACCUCUGUCUCCCUCAAGCACUGCAGUAUCGGGCGCAGUUCCUCGGUUGGGCCGAGGGAUUUCACACCCGACUAACAGCGCCGCCUACGUACCCUUUAAGCCCAGUAAUUCCGAAUAACGUUUGGACGGUACGUAUUACCGCGGCUGCU
RNAcentral lists this unclassified non-coding RNA (289 nucleotides) under uncultured fungus. RNAcentral describes it as "sequence contains ITS1". Lineage: Eukaryota; Fungi. The record is from RNAcentral.